This 366-nucleotide ribosomal RNA is filed under the name Triticum aestivum (bread wheat). RNAcentral's name for it is "partial small subunit ribosomal RNA". Lineage: Eukaryota; Viridiplantae; Streptophyta; Magnoliopsida; Poales; Poaceae. The record is from RNAcentral.
AUGGAUUUGGUGUCCAGGACAUGUGGAGUUGAGAUCAGAGUAAUGACAUCCUGUAUGCGCUUGGACACCCAGCAGAUUGAAAAUAUAGAAGCAAAGAUAUCCAAUACGAGGCCACGAUGCCCGACAGAGAUGCAGCCAAUACGCGCCCAAUCUUUAUUUCUUGAUGUUGGAACAACAAAUAAGAGCAUGUUCAUGUUUAUUUAUUAUGGUUUUUUUUCGAGAAAUUUUGGGGAUUUACAAGCUGAAAUUAUUGACUGUCUGAAAAAAUGUUUUAACCAAAACUGUUUGAACAAUGUGCCCUGGUUCUGCAUUCAUGGAACUGUAAAAAAAAUUGAACAAGUUCAGUCGGAGUUUUGUUCCUGUUAA